UGAGUGCGAGCGGCUACGGCCGCGAAGUGGGUGAUGUCAAGCUUCCAAGAAAAGCCCUAUACCCGUUAAGACAUGAUGGCCUGUACCCGAAACCGACACAGGUGGGGUGGUAGAGAAUACCGAGGGGCGCGAGGUAACUCUCUCUAAGGAACUCGGCAAAAUGGCCCCGUAACUUCGGGAGAAGGGGUGCCACCGCAAGGUGGUCGCAGUGAAGAGGCCCAGGCGACUGUUUACCAAAAACACAGGUCUCCGCUAAGUCGCAAGACGAUGUAUGGGGGCUGACGCCUGCCCAGUGCCGGAAGGUUAAGGAAGCUGGUCAGCGCAAGCGAAGCUGGCGACUGAAGCCCCGGUGAACGGCGGCCGUAACAAUAACGGUCCUAAGGUAGCGAAAUUCCUUGUCGGGUAAGUUCCGACCCGCACGAAAGGCGUAACGAUCUGGGCGCUGUCUCGGAGAGAGGCUCGGCGAAAUAGAAUUGUCUGUGAAGAUGCGGACUACGUGCACCCGGACAGAAAGACCCUAUGAAGCUUUACUGUAGCUUGGUAUUGUGCCCGGGCUCUGAAUGCGCAGGAUAGGUGGGAGGCUUUGAUCCAUGGCUUGCGGGUCAUGGUGAGCCAACGGUGAGAUACCACUCUUUCAGAGCUAGGGUUCUAACGGUCACCCGUCAUCCGGGGACCGGACAGUAUCAGGUGGGCAGUUUGACUGGGGCGGUCGCCUCCUAAAAGGUAACGGAGGCGCGCAAAGGUUUGCUCAGGCUGGUUGGAAAUCAGCCGACGAGUGCAAAAGCAGAAGCAAGCUUGACUGUGAGACCUACAAGUCGAACAGGGACGAAAGUCGGCUUUAGUGAUCCGACGGUUCUGAGUGGAAGGGCCGUCGCUCAACGGAUAAAAGUUACUCUAGGAUAACAGGCUGAUCUCCCCCAAGAGUUCACAUCGACGGGGAGGUUUGGCACCUCGAUGUCGGCUCAUCGCAACCUGGGGCUGAAGUCGGUCCCAAGGGUUGGGCUGUUCGCCCAUUAAAGCGGUACGCGAGCUGGGUUCAGAACGUCGUGAGACAGUUCGGUCCAUAUCCGGUGCACGCGCAGGAACAUUGAGAGGAUUUCUCCCUAGUACGAGAGGACCGGGAGGAACGCACCUCUGGUGUGCCAGUUAUCGUGCCAACGGUAAACGCUGGGUAGCCAUGUGCGGAGUGGAUAACCGCUGAAAGCAUCUAAGUGGGAAGCCCACCUCAAGAUGAGUGUUCCCAUGGCAUAAGCCAGUAAGGUCACGGGAAGAACACCCGUUGAUAGGCUCUACGUGGAAGCCGGGUAACCGGUGAAGCGGAGGAGUACUAAUAGGCCGAGGGCUUGACC
This 1349-nucleotide ribosomal RNA is filed under the name metagenome. RNAcentral's name for it is "bacterial LSU rRNA". It matches the Rfam family "Bacterial large subunit ribosomal RNA", at positions 1564 to 2925 of the family's 2925-position model. The record is from RNAcentral.